This 5024-nucleotide long non-coding RNA is filed under the name Taeniopygia guttata (zebra finch). Its description in RNAcentral is "lncRNA (ENSTGUG00000024192.1)". The record is from RNAcentral. Lineage: Eukaryota; Metazoa; Chordata; Aves; Passeriformes; Estrildidae.
GCGCCCGCCGGGCCGCGGGAUGCGCCGGGGCUGCGGCUGGCUCGACCCCUCCCCUCCCCUCCCUCUGGGCUGCCCGAUAUCUCACUCGAGACGGGAGACUGCGGAAGCUGGGCCGUUUAAGUCUGGAGAAGACAAGACUGAGAGAGAAUCUCAAUAAUGCAUAAAAAUAUCAGAAAGUGCUGAGACUUUCGGUGGUGCCCAUAACAGGGUAUGGAGCAAUGGCCGUAAACUGUAACACAAGAAAUUCCACCUCAACCUUUUGCACUGAGCUGGUAGAGCACUGAAACGGGCUGCCUAGGGAGGUCAUGGAGUCUCCCUUUGGAGACAUUCAAACCCCACCUGGAUGAGUUCUGUGUCACCCGCCCCAGGUGACCCUGCUUUGGCAGAGGGUUGGACUGGGUGAUCUCCAGAAGUCCCUUCCCAGCUUGACAAUUCUGAUUCUGUAAAAGCCUUUUGGUCCAGCUGGAAGGUGGUCUGGAGCCUGCUGCUGACCUUGUCCUCGUCUCAGAAAUCAUCCUUCAGGCCUCAUACAGGAGAGGGAAGAAAUGAGCCAGAGAAAGGAAGAGCAGAAACCUCUGGAGAAGAAUGAUAGAGUGAAACCUCUCCUCUUGGGAUCAGCAAUCAAAUCUGGCCCAGGUCAGCAGAGACCAACAGCUGUAAUAGCUCACUGUAGGUAGUUCUCUUAGUGCCUCACAGAUGACUGUCCAAACCAAAAGAGGCCAAAUGCUUUUCCACUGUUAUUACUGGUGCCACCAGGAUGCUGCUGGAACCUGGGUAAAAGCUACUGUGCAGUAAAAAUGAUAGGAGAGGAGCAUCACACAUGCAGCCCCCUUUCUGGACUGGACCAGCAGCUUCCAGAGCUUUUGGGAGAGAGCUCUGCACUGUACUCACUUUAAGAAAAUAACAAAGCUGAGUUAGUUGAACCAAAGCUGAAGUAUAUCCAGGACUCAAGUCUAGCCCCAAAAUGUCUAAAUCCACACUGUCCUUUCGUGUGUUUGAGUAUCUCUACUACUCUAUAGCUGGACAUACCCCAUGUGAAUGGCCUGUGUUUCCUGGGGUACUUUCACAGCUUUACAUGCACUGCACCUCCUCUCUGAGUCUGUGACUGAGGACUCUUUGGUUUUCAGGAACCCACUGUCCUGGCAAGAAGUCCCUCUAAAGGGCCAAGCCAGUGAUUUCUAGCCUACUUUCACCAGCAAAGACUGCAAAAUGUGAGGAGACAGUGCGUCACCAGUCUGUGAGCCUUCCCUGGGUGCUGGUUAGAUGGCCUGCCAGAAGCAUCACAGGUGAGACUUACUGACACAAGCCCUUUCACAGCUUGGCACUGUUUACUGUUUGUGGAGUGUGAUGGCACAAUUCCUCCUGAAAACUGCACAGACACAAGCCUCCUCUCUGCUGCAAAAUGCAUUAUCCUCAGAGCCAAAUGAAUCAGCACAUACCCAGCACAGCAGCCAGGACUGACCAGCACUGCCUUCCCCUUCCAAAAUGUCAAACGAAUUUCUGCUUCAGCAUAUGACACCAGCAACCACACAAGUCUCCCAGCCUCAGGGUUGUUGCUGUCCUCUUUAUGUUAUUCUGCCCUUCCUAUUCAUAUCAUUGUUCAACGAUCAACUCCCAAGUGGCUCAAACUCCACCCAGAGGAAAAAAAAAAAAAAGCCAUUAUCUAAACUAUGCCUAUUCUGCAAGUGCUCCAAAGAGCACUUCAUCACCCCUUUUUUCACAAUUCAUGAUUUUUACAUGCCUACAUGGAGAAAACCAGCAACCUGGACCCACAGAUCUGGAGAGGAUUUCACAGGAGUGGCUCUCCUUCUGUUGUGAAAAAAAGUGAGUAAGUCUUUACUUUUGUGUGAUGUGGUUGAUGGUUUCUCCAGCUGCUGAAAACAUGGGCCAGAGAUUGAGAAGUGACCCUGGGAAGUGAGGACAGGGAAAGAAUUCACUCAGACCUGGAAUGAAUGACCUGGUCUUUUGCAGAACUCUGUGCCUACGUUUUACAUAGUCCUAAGUAAAAUUCCCACCUGAAAACAGCUUUUGCACUUUGGUUAGACAAAGGAAUCUGGUGACACUGCACUGGUUCAAGAUUACAUAAAGGCCUGGAGAGCAGGAAGCAGGCACCAAUCCACCUCUGGAACAGGCAUAUUCUAGGAACAGUCCUGUGUGUCUCUGCCAGUGUGCCAUGCACCUUCUCUUCAGCAGUGGGGUCACAGGCAAGUUACAGUGGCAUUUGAUGGGUGUGUUUGGACAGCCCAAACUUGGUCAUACACUGUUAAUAGCAACUUGCUGCUGUGGAAAUGUGAAAUGCAAAGAUUUGUUUGGAAUAAAGGAGGUCAGGUCGAGUAGAUGAGGAAAGAGUGCAACAUGCAGGGGUGGGGUUUGCUUGGCUGGGCACCUGUGUGGCUCUUAGGAAUUAUCCUGGUCCCUAAAGCAGGAGUCUGCUCCAUACAGCCAGAGGAAGGAUCACCAUUUGGCUGAAGAGAUACAAAAUCAAGCUCUGUGGGCAGGUAGGAUCAGUCCUUGGUCUGUUAGGAUUUUUAGAGUCAGCAGAUUCCCUGUUUAUCCUGAACUGCUUUGUACAUACCAGGACUCUUGCUGCAGUAGUUGAUAAAAAUACAAAACACAGAGGAAGGAGAGCUCAACCAAGAGAGAAUAAUCAAACUAAACUCCUUAUCUUCUCACUUAUGCCCUUAUCCUGGCAAAAUUUGAGAAAAAUACAAUGUUUUUGAAAUGCCAGAAAACCAUGAACACUGCUAUGCUUGCACUGACCAAGACACACACGAUGUAAAACACCCAGGUGAUGCUGUGAUUGAUGUGAUAGCCUGCCCAGCUUUGCAAUUUCUAGCUACUGUCAUAAAUAUUUUGUCUACAGCCAUAUUUCAGGCUUUGCCAGUGAGUGACAAAAGAGGCCAGCAGUAGUGGAACUGCAAAUAGAAACUACACUGUGAUGCUGCAGCACUCUUUUUUGAUCACUCAGAUGUGCAGCAAACCCUCAGCAUUCCUUUAAACCUUCUCUUAUCUGAAAUACCUUAGGUAAGAGGUAUCCCAGCUGCAAAGAUGUGAUUGCAAAAGAGGAAAAACGUGGUCUUGUAAAGAUGUGGGGGACAGCUAAGAUGACAGUAGAGAGCAGCUGAGAUCACCCCAGCCUGGAGUCACUCUCCAUCUUGGAUUGCAGUUGUCACAUCUGGAGUAAUAAAUGCAUUUGCUCUUUGCCAUGUGUCCAGCAGCACGGGGAAUCUUCCAGGGGCAAGGAAGAGAAGCUGUCAAGGAGAAAAGUCUUAAAUCUUCCAAGUAAUGUGUAAAACAAACUUGGUCAUAUACAAAAGAGAGGGGUAAGAAUCAAGGGGACUAAAAGAUAAUGGAGAAAGAGAUAAAAAUACCAAUAAAAAGAAAGAGAAGAAGACCUUUAGUCAAUAAAGGAGAGGAUCAGAAUAAGGAGGUGACAAGGGUGCAGCCUUAGCAAACAGAGCCAAAGUCAAAUAGAAAAAUAACCCUGCCAGAAAUAAAAGCAGAGGAGUUGAGCUUGAAUGAAAGGGGAUGAAAACCAGCUGUCAUGUAAAAUGGGAGUGAGAGAAUGAGCAGGGCAGCCCAGGGGAGCAGCAGUGCAGGCUGGAGGCAGGAUUUGCCUCAGAGAGUGCCUUUGCCAGAGGAGUGAGCCAACACACAGGAUGCUGUUGGACAACUUAUCUGGGAUGGCUGAGGCAGGGGGAUGGGACAGUAGGGGAGGAGGAUGGAGAUACUGAUCUGUGCAAAUGCCUGGAGCUUCUGUGUGAGUCAGGCAACAGAAAACUGUGCUGUGGGCUUACCAAAGUCAGGAUAACCCAUGGAAGUAAUGCCUACUGAGUGUGUUGCAUGGCACUUCUCUUUAAUUUGAUUUUUAAAUAGCAAAGAAAUAUGAGUCAGUUCAUGCACAGAAGAGAAUGACUUAAUCAAAUGGCAUAGUAACCACUGCACUCCCCAGCUAUGAUCAUGUGGUACUGCUGAUUUAAUGAUCAAUUGCAAAACCCCAGCUCAGGUGAAACUUCCCACGUUCUAUCCACAUGUUAAACCUGAAAAUCUUCCAAACUUUACAGAGGCUUGAAAACCUUUGAAAUUCAAGCGCCCAGAAAAAAAUGCAAGAGCAAAAUCAAAAUGGUUUUGUUGUAAAUGUUAUGAUACAUGAGACUAAAAGUCCCUCAUCUCUAAAACUGAUCAGAAAAGAGGGUGGGAAACAUUUAGAAUGAAUGAUUAGACUGAAGCCAGAGCACUGACCUUGGCACAUGCCUGAGAAGCAGCAGGGAAGCACAGGGAAGCCAGAUGAAGGAUUUUCCAGUCAGAGAGGGAAAACUUGGUGGAUUUUAAUAGCACAAGGGCAGAGAAAGAUCAUGGGUUUGUGUUCAUAUUGUAAUAGGCAUCCAACCAUACCAGGACAGUUCUGGUUCUGUGUAUUGUCUUCUGGUUUUGAACCAUCAGAGCAAAACUUGCUUCACAUUUGGAUCCUUUUCUCAAUAACCACAAGACACAAGCUGUAACAAACAAACAAACAAAUCAACAAACAUUUACAUUGAAAUCCAUUAAUUUCAGCAGCUAAUGCUCUCAGAUACCAAACAAUGCAAGAAAGAAGCAGAGACUCUAGUGACUCAUUUGUUAAGUUGGAAUAGAAGGAAGAACUAACCACAUGCAGGGGAUGAUGAUAAGGGUUAAGAGCCUGCCAAGAAAAGGUAGAAAACAAUGCCUUAACACUGCUUGCUAAGACUAAGGAGCCUGCAAGGGAAAAGUUUUUCAUGCUGUUAUCCAGUGCUGUUAAAGGAGAAUGUAGCCCCUUUGCUAUCCAUCACCCUGCCUUCCCCUGCCACUCUACUCUGUGUAUAUAUUCUGGUUGCACCCUGGCAGGCUGCCUCUCCUACAUAGGUGCUGAAUGAAAAGAAGGAAAACAUGGUCCUGUCUUUUUCAUUAGCUCAUCCUCUCUUAUCUUCUUCCUUCUUUCUUUUUUUGUUCAUCUGCAAAUAUAUUCCUUUGCUUUCACAGUAAAUUAAUAAAACAUUCUUGGGAGU